RNAcentral lists this long non-coding RNA (5906 nucleotides) under Sus scrofa (pig). Its description in RNAcentral is "lncRNA (ENSSSCG00000058671.1)". Lineage: Eukaryota; Metazoa; Chordata; Mammalia; Artiodactyla; Suidae. The record is from RNAcentral.
UGACCUCCUGUCUUUGAAGGUGGCGUGUACCCUCAUCUUCACUAUAUACCCUGUUUGUCGUGAAUAGAGAAACCACACGUAACCUUAGAUAAGUGAGGAACCUGGGAAACUGGCGCUUGUUCAUUGUCACUCCCAGUGCUUUCAGCAGUUUCUUAAUUCGUGAAAAUUAAUAGUUUCACUGGAGGUGGUAUGAAAUGGCAAUUGGGUUUGCUAAUCUUCUCUGACUUUUGUAAGUCUUUUUUUGUUUUGUUUUGUUUUGUUUUUUUGUAAAAUAAGUUUCCAGACCAGGGAUUGAAUCCAAGGCGCAACUCGGAUCUUUUAACCCACUACUGUAUCUUUUAAUCCACUGCGCCAGGCUGUGGAUGAAACCCUCACUGCCAUAGCGACCUGUGCCACCGCAAUCAGGUUCUUAACCCACUGUGCCACAGUGGUAACUCUAAGAGCAGUUAGUCUAGAACAGAAUUUAGGGCUCUUCUUAGACUGCAGUCAUGCUCCUGAAGAGGCUAUUUAGUAACUUGGUGAUGAAUUUGAACUGUGUCUCCAAAAUUUGCCUCCAGAAGAGACAGCUAUUUUCCAGUCUCUGUCUCGCUGUAGGUCAACAGGUUGACAUUCAGAGUUACUGUUAAAAUUGGAACGUGUAAACACCGUGAGUCUGGUUUGGUUUUAUUUAUUUAUUUAUUUUCAGUGAACAAAAGCUUUGUUAUCCUCCUCAGAAAGAGGACAAAUGCAUACCUGGCUCUCACCAUGGUUUUAGUUUGGCAGAACCCAAAGAGAAACCCCUCUGUUUCCCUGUCGUCCUCUCCCCCAAUCCCUGUUCAAUGUGAUAAGUGGUAUUUAUAUUUUAAUCUCAAAAGACCAGUCACAAGACUCCAAAUAUGUCUUAGAAAUUGGGGUGAUGUUAAAAAAACAAAGCACUCAAGCUUUGGUGUUUUGAAUGUGGAGAAAGUCCCUGAGUGAAAAUCCCUUCAUUCCUUUUCUUCCCUUGCUUGAAACUUUAUAGAAGAUCAAAUUUUCCUGGUAUUAAACAUUGACCCACACCUUGGAAAUGGUGCGUGGCCCUUCCUGCUUUCUUAAGAGCUGGUGCAUUUUGAGGGAGAGCGUCUUGGCCUCCCUGAGACUUACCUGGAGCUGAGGGCGCUUCUCUUUAGUAAAUGAGAAACCAGAGGUACCAGGAAGCCAAAGGAGUCAGGGCCACAGGGCUGUUUUUCUUUAAAAUCCUCGGCUUCAUCUGUUCAGGGAUAGGCAGUGACUUGAGACCCUUUGAAGGAGGCCUAAUUUCCAUGUGAGUUCUACUCAGUGGGUGGUGAGACUGUGACAUCCUUCAAUAGAACUGCAAUCACCGUGUGGUGAAAACCACGUCAAAUUUGUUCUGGGUUUUCCUUCUUCCUGAAGUGACAGCACAACACGUCCGCAGUGCUGUGGCUGCCGUUUGUGCAGCCGGUCGUUUCCCUCCUUGACGCUGUAUAACUCCCACCCUCUCGCCUUUCCACCCGAGGGGGCCAACCUCCCCCUGCUGCUGCUGUGCCCGAGAGGGUCUCUGCCUUUGCCCGUGGUCCAUUUCAUGAUUGCUUGGUGGGGAGAGGGGGAGAGGCCUGAUUUUGUAGCAACUUUUUUUUUUUUUUUUUUCUAGGAGGGGAAAAAAUGUAGAGCUGACCACAGAGUGAACACACUGAUUCUUGGGUUCCAGUCGGGGCUGGGUUUCUUGAGGCUGGGUGGCAUAUGCUGUCGCCAAGCUCACGCUACACCUCAUAACCCACAGCCAUUCGCUGUGCUCCCUGGGGUCGCCUUAAUCCCAAGCAGCCAGGGUUGCUCAGGGGAAAAUAAGAAUUCUGGCACAGAAAGGAGUCAUUUAAAUGCUUAUUGCAUUUCAAGCUUCAGUUUUUACUUAGCUAAAAUAUUUACCAUUGCUGGAAAACAAUGUUUAAAAUUUUGUGCUUAUAUGUUAUUUAAUGGUGUGGCCUAUGUAAACCGCAGGAUGCUUACAUUUUGACAGUCUUCUGGAAAUGUUUAACAGCACAUAACUCAGUGAGCAGGGAAUAAAAACCAGGAACAAAUUGUGCUUGAAACUUUGUAACCUCCUCCCAGCUAGGUAUUCAGCAAGUCACGUUGGAAUUCUUCAGGUAGGGGCAGGGAAAUCUCCCCGCAGGGAUUUGCUGAAUCCUGUCUGAGGGCCCCAGUUAUCAACCUUCUAGAGAAAUCCUAAGAGUCAUCAUGUGCCUUUUACCACAGAAGCCAUACUUGUGGGGAUGAGUUUGUAACUUUGCCACUGAGCAAAAUCACAUUUUGAGUUCAAGAUAAUCAAACACUUUCAGGAUUUUUGAUUUUUCAAUUUUUCGUGGAUUUUUCCAAGGAAAAGACACAUACCCUGGUAAGAGCAGUGAAAUGUUCUUUCCACAAAUGUUCUGCCCACAAAAGGCUUGUGCCUUUUAUUUUACCUUGUGGGAAUACCCCCAAGCCUCACCAAAGAGUUCUGUUUUAGAUGUCAGGAGGAUCACAGGGGGCUCACAGUUUCAUGUUAAGGUCUGAAGCAGCAAAAAGCAUUGCCACUUCUUUUUUUCUAAUUUUUAAGUUCUUUUGGCCACACCUGCCGCACAUGGAGGUUUCCAGACAAAGGUCGAAGCUGUGACCCGAGCCACAGCUGUGGCAGCACAGGAUCCUUAACCCACUGCACCAGGCAGGGGAUUCAACCCUCACCUCCCAGCGACCCCAGCCACUGCAGUCGGAUCCUUAAUUCACUUGUGCUACAGCGGAAAUUCUAGCAUUGCCAUGUCUAUCUUUUAAAACAGUGCCAGUCUUCAGCGUGAAAGCCCAGAUUAGGCUCCAUGAGGGUAGGGACCAUGCCUUUGAGGCUAGUUCCUUAGUGCCUAGAACUUUUAGUGGACUCUUGAUUAUUAUUUGGAUGGAUGGAUUUUUGAGAAUAUUUUUUCCAAUGAGCAAUCUCUAUUAUUUUCCACUUUAUAUGCCUUUUCGGUAGCAGUUUUAACUGCUGUAGUUAAAACCAUAAUGGAAAAAAAAUCAGUCUUAUGUAUUGUUCACUGACUUUAGAAGUCAUAAAUAUGUAUUUUAUUAAAGUAACUGCAGGUAUUUAAAUUGAUUUUAAUUAAUUGGUUACUUUGAGUUAGGAACUUUCAUAUAAAGUAUAUAAUAUUUAAAUUUCCUGGUCAUGGUUAAAAAUAAAGAUUUUUUAAAAACCACACCCUUGGAGAUUAGUGUUACAUUAGGGUUGUAAUGUAACAGUUUUAAAAAAGUUUCUUUUAAAAAGCAGUUUCUCUCAUCAAGGAAUGUCAGUUGUUGAGGACUCAUUCUCUCUGUGCCUGACAUUCGUGUCCUCAGGAGCACAGUGGCAAGCUUUCCUUUAGCAGCUGCUGAGGAAAACGAGAACUCCUUUUCAUAAGUUUUUAUUUUUAUUUUUUUUAGCUAAUGCAUUAAUUGACUCCAGAAAGAGUCCAAAUGGAACACUGCUUUCAUCUGCUGGGGUAACCUAAUAAAAUAAUGUUGUUUGUUUUUAGAUUCCCGGCUGUUAAGGGGGUUUUGCUCAAGGCAAAACCACAGUCCCCUUGAAUAACUUUAGAAGGAGAGUUAAGAAGACACACUGAUUGUGCCUGUCAGAGGUUUGCUCCUUCAAGGGCACAGACACGCCCCCUGCACGCCAGUCUGGCCACCAGGGCUCCGGUGCCCACCGUUGCAUUGAAUCUGUUGGACAGGGCUCCUGCCCCUUUGGAGGCUGCUUGAUUCUGCUGUGGAGCACUUCUUAAGAAGAUUUAGAAAUGAACUCAAGGACUCAGAACCAGUUGUGCAAGCACACUGUCUAUGCUCUCCGGCUGCCUAUAGAAUGGGGAGAGGGAAGCGCAGCUUAAACAAAAAAGACUGAUGACGACAUGCUUCCUUACCUCUCAUCAGCCCCUCCUCCAUUCUUGGCUACUUAGGGCAGCUCUGUCUUUUUGGGCUGCUUUCCAAUGAGAGGGGGCAAGUAAUUCUGCUCCCAUUCUGGAGUGCCUGGACCAGUAAGAACUCAUUAAGUAUGAGUAUCAUUGACAUGCCAGGCAUGAUCUCAUUAAAUCCUUCCCAUAUCCAUUAAGGUAGGUACUAUUCUUGUCCCUGUGUCACACAUGAGGAAACCAAGAUUCAGAGAGGUUAUCUUGCUCACACUCUCUCAGCUAGCAAACAAGGGUUUGAAUCCAGAUCUUUGGCAGCCCAAGCCCUCUUCUUUCCCUACAAGGCUUUCUCAACAAAACUCAGUACAGGAAGUUCUUAUGAUAGUCUAUGCCCAGAAUUUCUUAUUGUCCCAUUUCUUAGUAUUGGAUCUAUCAUUCCUAACUUAGAUUGGAGGGGAAGGGUGAACACCAAUUAUUUCCCAUCGUAAGUGCAUUUGCUAUCUCAGGAUUCCACAGCCUGAGGACCAGGUGAAUCCUGACAAGCCUUUUGAGGUUCAUCUUAAACUAUUUUAUAGCCUGUUAAAGUCAGUAAAGAGAGGAUUAAGGUAAACUUGAAGCAUUUGCCCCACGGGUUUAAAAUUGGAAGGCAAUGUGGAAAAAGCAAAGAUAAAUUUACAAACUGUUACAGUGCAACGUGAUAUGACGUGAACUGAAUUGGACCAUCUUAAAAAUCUCUGCUAUAAUUAGAAAAUGUCCUUCUUCAACAAAAGUUGGAAAUAAUGGAAAACCAAGUUAAAAGUAAAUAUCUAUGGGUAUUUGGCCUCAAAGUGUGUCUGGAGGGAAUGGAGACAAUUUACAGAAUGUGGGAUUUGCUAGAAUUACUUCUGGAUAUAAAAUCUCCAUCACCACUAAUGGUUGGAAAGGUCUUACUCUAGUCCCAAUAAGUUAUCUUCUAUCCAUAAAGUUUAAGGCAGAUAACUAUCACUGCAUUUUGCUUCUCCCUCCCCCAUUUUUAUAUAAAUAAAAGCAAAUUAUUGACUGACCAACACCAAAAAUUUACAGCAUUUUCUUCUGGGCAAAAGGGAAAAAAUAUAUGUAUUUCAAAAUGUGAAUUUUUGGAGUUCAUCUGUGGCACAGUGGGUUAAAGAUCUGUCAUUGUCUCUAAAGCAGCUUGGGUUGCUGCUGUGGCACAGGUUCAACUGCUGGCCCAGAAACUUCUGCAUGCCAUGGGUGUGGCCCCCCCAAAAAAGUGAAUUUCUGUUUUGAAGCAGAAUUUACCUAUGUAAGUUCUAAGGAUAGAGAUAUGCUUAUCAAUUUGAGAAUUAAUGGAGAAUUAGCCACUCUAUGUAAGAAGCUGCUUUUAAUGGUGACCUAUUCCAUUUGGGCCAGCUCCAGUGUUAGAAAAGGCUUACACUUUCUUAUAGUAAGAUUAGAAAAAAAGAGUGAGGAUGAUGGAAAUUGAAACAGGCCUUCUUUUUUUCUUCCGAAGAGAGAAGUGAAGUGAUUGCCGAUGUUUGUUGAAUUUUAUUAUAUGGAAAGCAGAGAUUUCUCCACAUUUUCAGUCUCAGCUUAUGUCCUGCCUCACUAAGCUGUGUAUGUAUCACCGCUGAACUGAAGAAGCAGUUCACACUUGACCUGGAUCUUCAAGUUACUUGCGACCACUACUAAUGAAGUAAGUGACUUCUUUCUUUUUUAAAUUGUUUCCCUGUGUGAGACUGAAAAUAGAAAACCCAUCAUUACUGUCUCUGAGUACUGAAAUUGUGUCGUGCUUUUUCUUUUUACUCCAUUUAGAAAGUGUCUUGAGGAGUUCCCAUUAUGGCUCAGCAGUUAUGAACCUAAAUAGUAUCCAUGAGAAUGUGGGUUUGAUCCCUGGCUUCACUCAGUGGCUUAAGGAUCUGGUGUUGUCAUGAGCUGUGAUGUAGGUCAAAGAGGUGGCUCGUAUCUGCCAUUGCUGUGGUGUGGUGUAGGCCCACAGCUGCAGUUCUGAUUCAAUCCCUAGCCUGGAAACUUCCAUAUGCCACAGGUGCGGCC